RNAcentral lists this ribosomal RNA (769 nucleotides) under uncultured Pseudoalteromonadaceae bacterium. RNAcentral describes it as "bacterial SSU rRNA". It matches the Rfam family "Bacterial small subunit ribosomal RNA", at positions 28 to 776 of the family's 1533-position model. Lineage: Bacteria; Pseudomonadati; Pseudomonadota; Gammaproteobacteria; Alteromonadales; Pseudoalteromonadaceae. The record is from RNAcentral.
AUUGAACGCUGGCGGCAGGCCUAACACAUGCAAGUCGAGCGGAAACGAGUUAUCUAAACCUUCGGGGAACGAUAACGGCGUCGAGCGGCGGACGGGUGAGUAAUGCCUAGGAAAUUGCCCUGAUGUGGGGGAUAACCAUUGGAAACGAUGGCUAAUACCGCAUGAUGCCUACGGGCCAAAGAGGGGGACCUUCGGGCCUCUCGCGUCAGGAUAUGCCUAGGUGGGAUUAGCUAGUUGGUGAGGUAAGGGCUCACCAAGGCAACGAUCCCUAGCUGGUCUGAGAGGAUGAUCAGCCACACUGGAACUGAGACACGGUCCAGACUCCUACGGGAGGCAGCAGUGGGGAAUAUUGCACAAUGGGCGCAAGCCUGAUGCAGCCAUGCCGCGUGUGUGAAGAAGGCCUUCGGGUUGUAAAGCACUUUCAGUCGUGAGGAAGGUAGUGUGUUUAAUAGAUGCAUUAUUUGACGUUAGCGACAGAAGAAGCACCGGCUAACUCCGUGCCAGCAGCCGCGGUAAUACGGAGGGUGCGAGCGUUAAUCGGAAUUACUGGGCGUAAAGCGCAUGCAGGUGGUUUGUUAAGUCAGAUGUGAAAGCCCGGGGCUCAACCUCGGAAUAGCAUUUGAAACUGGCAGACUAGAGUACUGUAGAGGGGGGUAGAAUUUCAGGUGUAGCGGUGAAAUGCGUAGAGAUCUGAAGGAAUACCGGUGGCGAAGGCGGCCCCCUGGACAGAUACUGACACUCAGAUGCGAAAGCGUGGGGAGCAAACAGG